RNAcentral lists this ribosomal RNA (386 nucleotides) under uncultured bacterium. RNAcentral's name for it is "bacterial SSU rRNA". It matches the Rfam family "Bacterial small subunit ribosomal RNA", at positions 28 to 417 of the family's 1533-position model. The record is from RNAcentral.
GACGAACGCUGGCGGCGUGCUUAACACAUGCAAGUCGAGCGGUAAGGCCCUUCGGGGUACGACGAGCGGCGAACGGGUGAGUAACACGUGGGUGACCUGCCUUUAGCUCUGGGAUAAGCCUGGGAAACUGGGUCUAAUACCGGAUAUGACCUCAUGACGCAUGUUGUGGGGUGGAAAGCCUUGUGCGGCUAGAGAUGGGCCCGCGGCCUAUCAGCUUGUUGGUGGGGUGAGGCCUACCAAGGCGACGACGGGUAGCCGGCCUGAGAGGGCGACCGGCCACACUGGGACUGAGACACGGCCCAGACUCCUACGGGAGGCAGCAGUGGGGAAUCUUGCGCAAUGGGCGAAAGCCUGACGCAGCGACGCCGCGUGAGGGAUGACGGCCU